Molecule: non-coding RNA, 28 nt
Filed under: Homo sapiens (human)
Lineage: Eukaryota; Metazoa; Chordata; Mammalia; Primates; Hominidae
Source: RNAcentral
UGUUGAAAAACCUAGGAUUACUUAAUGC